CCUACGGGAGGCAGCAGUAGGGAAUAUUGCUCAAUGGGGGAAACCCUGAAGCAGCAACGCCGCGUGGAGGAUGAAGGUUUUCGGAUUGUAAAAUCCUUUUGUUAGAGAAGAUAAUGACGGUAUCUAACGAAUAAGCACCGGCUAACUCCGUGCCAGCAGCCGCGGUAAUACGGAGGGUGCAAGCGUUACCCGGAAUCACUGGGCGUAAAGGGCGCGUAGGCGGGAGAGCAAGUCAGAUGUGAAAUCCUAUGGCUUAACCAUAGAACUGCAUUUGAAACUGUUAUUCUAGAGUAUGGGAGAGGUAGGCGGAAUUCUUGGUGUAGGGGUAAAAUCCGUAGAGAUCAAGAGGAACACUCAUUGCGAAGGCGACCUGCUAGAACAUAACUGACGCUGAGGCGCGAAAGCGUGGGGAGCAAACAGGAUUAGAUACCCGAGUAGUC
Molecule: ribosomal RNA, 440 nt
Filed under: uncultured bacterium
Lineage: Bacteria
Description: partial 16S ribosomal RNA
Rfam family: Bacterial small subunit ribosomal RNA
Source: RNAcentral